AAGGAAGUGAUUGGGGCUUUGAUGUCCGUCUAUCAAAUGACUCCCACCUAUGUAUCGAGAAUAAUAGGACGAUGGAGGGCACCGCCACUUGUGCGAAAAAUUCCCUCCAUUGUGGCUUGCGUCCAACAAUGCGGGGGUCACCUGUGAAAUCUGGGGCCGAGAACUACUAGGAUCGGCUAUUUGCAGCCAUUGGGGAAUCAUGAGGAAAAUUACCACUCACAAGGCUGGCCAGUUUGUAUUUUUUUAUUUUCUAGACAGAUGUGCCAAUUGAGUGCAAGUGCAGUCCCUAGGGAUCACCUGCGAAAUGCAUUCUGACAGACAACUGUCUUGCAUCUUUUGACCAAAAGAAUUUUUCGGAGCACCAGCAAUGAUAUUUCUGGGGCAUAUCCAGUGGAAUAUCUCGAGAGCAAGGGAAAACCGGAGAUACGGCUUCGGAUGGACAAGUUUCAGCCGCCUUUUCUCAAAACUUAUCAUUCUACUGGAGGGCAUAAUCGAUCGGAGGGGUAGUGGAGUGGGGGUUCUCGAAUUUCACGCUUGAUUCUUUCUCUCUUUGACCACUCUGAACACCAGCAAGGCGCUCCCUUGCAUGAGAGUCCUGCAUUAUGGCAGCCACCCAACCAAUCGCGGAAGAGCUUGUCGUCUCAUUUCUCGUUCAGUUUGCAGCUUCAGCAGCGGGGCGCUGUCCUUGGCUGCAUGGGACGACUAAGUUUAUGCAUUCCGUAAGGCAACCAUCGUUUAUACCCUAAGGUCAGGGUGACAAACUCGGUCAGGCAAACUUGGUCGGAAUCCUGACAUCCCUGCUGGAAUAUAUGACGCUUACGACAGUGAAUUUGAUUGUGUUGAUACAAAAACAAUUGAAUGCCGCAAUAUCCCCACAGCCCACCUUGCCUCACUUUUGAAUUUCAACUCUCAAGAGUUUCUACUUCGGUUACCUGCAUAUUUUUGCCUUUGCCGUGUGCAUGGUGUAGAAAUCACCUCUCCUCUUGGCUUCCGGAGUGUCCAUCCAACCUCUUGGGAAUAGAAAUAUAUGAAUACCACCAGUCCUGUUGCAGUCCUCUGGACAUUUUGGAUAUUAAAGCAGCCAUGAAUGCCAACAGCACUAUUGUGGGUGCCUCACGGCCACCAGUCCCACCGCAGCAUAUACCACCUCAUCACUUCCCCCACAGCCAAAUGGAGGCUUCCCACACUGGCGCCGCAAACACGGGCCAACCGCUGAGAGCCAGAGAUCAUCAUCAAGCCUCAGUGUUCCCGAUGAAUACAAACCAUGAACUUGACACCAUGGCUAGCCAAUUGAAUAAUCUCACUCUGGACCCAGCUACAUUGGGCACGAUGCGAGAAGCACUCAACCGUGCCCCGCUUUCCAAAACCAAUGAGAUUUUCCCCGCCGUCCGAACAAGUUACGAAGGAUGGAUUCUAUGCCGAGCGCGUCCAGACACCUCAGAGGUGAUAUCGACCUGGGAUGAAGUUACUCGAGAAAGGAUGCAUCUCCCUCAAAAUGAAUUGGCCACGAUGGUUUUGAAACGUAAAGGCAAAAGCGUGGCUGAUAAGUACGACCGUUUGGGGAGCGGGAAGCGGAAACAAAUUGACGCAUUGAUCCAGGACCGGAAAAAGUGCGAUGGGGAUAAUCGAUUUGAAUGGAGUUGUGCUCACAUUCAAGCCGAGAUAAAAGUUGUCAAUCGUCGCAACUUCACCACAGAAUAUGUUACGUCAUCUCUCAAGUUAAUCCUUAUGAGACAAGUACGCCCUGGUAUCGUGCUCCUUCUCA
This 1765-nucleotide small RNA is filed under the name Histoplasma capsulatum. RNAcentral describes it as "hypothetical RNA". RNAcentral also lists the same sequence under 1 other name. Lineage: Eukaryota; Fungi; Ascomycota; Eurotiomycetes; Onygenales; Ajellomycetaceae. The record is from RNAcentral.